RNAcentral lists this transfer RNA (76 nucleotides) under Patescibacteria group bacterium. RNAcentral's name for it is "tRNA-Thr". It matches the Rfam family "tRNA". Rfam says of the family: Transfer RNA (tRNA) molecules are approximately 80 nucleotides in length. Their secondary structure includes four short double-helical elements and three loops (D, anti-codon, and T loops). The record is from RNAcentral. RNAcentral also lists the same sequence under 1 other name.
GCCCAGAUAGCUCAGUUGGUAGAGCAACUCCAUGGUAAGGAGUAGGUCAGCGGUUCGAGUCCGCUUCUGGGCUCCA